UACGUAGGGGGCAAGCGUUGUCCGGAUUUAUUGGGCGUAAAGAGCGUGUAGGCGGUUUGGUAGGUCCGCUGUGAAAACUCGAGGCUCAGCCUCGAGACGCCGGUGGAAACCAUCAGACUAGAGUCCGGAAGAGGAGAGUGGAAUUCCUGGUGUAGCGGUGAAAUGCGCAGAUAUCAGGAAGAACACCCGUGGCUAAGGCGGCUCUCUAGUACGGUACUGACGCUGAGACGCGAAAGCGUGGGGAGCGAACAGG
Molecule: ribosomal RNA, 253 nt
Filed under: uncultured bacterium
Lineage: Bacteria
Description: partial 16S ribosomal RNA
Rfam family: Bacterial small subunit ribosomal RNA
Source: RNAcentral